This 198-nucleotide ribosomal RNA is filed under the name Triticum aestivum (bread wheat). RNAcentral's name for it is "partial small subunit ribosomal RNA". Lineage: Eukaryota; Viridiplantae; Streptophyta; Magnoliopsida; Poales; Poaceae. The record is from RNAcentral.
AUGCGCCCUCUUCCACCUAUAGGUAAUUUCAGAGAAGUUUCUUUUCAAGUGGAAACCUCAAGGCCAUUAGAACUUGCUAUCCUCUUGCCUAAUAGGCAAAGAUUGACCUCUGUAUAACGACUGAUUCAUUCGGCUCGAUAUGAGGACCCAACUCCGUUGCAUUGCCAGAAUCCAUGAUCCAUAUUUGAAGCGGGUUGA